AUCCUGGCUCAGGAUGAACGCUAGCGGCAGGCUUAACACAUGCAAGUCGAGGGGCAGCGCGUUGUAGCAAUACGAUGGCGGCGACCGGCGAAAGGGUGCGUAACGCGUGAGCAACCUGCCCGUAUCCGGGACAUAAGCGGUGGAAACGCCGUCUAAUUUCCCAUAACAACGAGGGCCGCAUGGUCCAUGUUUGAAAGAUGCGUCGGAUACGGAUGGGCUCGCGAGACAUUAGCUAGUCGGCGUGGUAACGGCACACCGAGGCGACGAUGUCUAGGGGUUCUGAGAGGAAGGUCCCCCACACUGGAACUGAGACACGGUCCAGACUCCUACGGGAGGCAGCAGUGAGGAAUAUUGGUCAAUGGGCGCGAGCCUGAACCAGCCAAGUAGCGUGCAGGAAGACGGCCCUACGGGUUGUAAACUGCUUUUAUGCGGGGAUAAAGUGUGGGACGCGUCCCUCAUUGCAGGUACCGCAUGAAUAAGGACCGGCUAAUUCCGUGCC
This 499-nucleotide ribosomal RNA is filed under the name uncultured organism. Its description in RNAcentral is "SSU rRNA". It matches the Rfam family "Bacterial small subunit ribosomal RNA", at positions 16 to 509 of the family's 1533-position model. The record is from RNAcentral.